This 253-nucleotide ribosomal RNA is filed under the name uncultured bacterium. RNAcentral describes it as "partial 16S ribosomal RNA". It matches the Rfam family "Bacterial small subunit ribosomal RNA", at positions 524 to 776 of the family's 1533-position model. The record is from RNAcentral.
UACGUAGGGUGCGAGCGUUAAUCGGAAUUACUGGGCGUAAAGCGUGCGCAGGCGGUUUUGUAAGCCAGAUGUGAAAGCCCCGGGCUUAACCUGGGAAUGGCAUUUGGGACUGCAAGGCUAGAGUGUGGCAGAGGAGACUGGAAUUCCUGGUGUAGCAGUGAAAUGCGUAGAUAUCAGGAGGAAUACCGAUGGCGAAGGCAGGUCUCUGGGCUGACACUGACGCUCAUGCACGAAAGCGUGGGGAGCAAACAGG